This 471-nucleotide long non-coding RNA is filed under the name Fragaria vesca (wild strawberry). RNAcentral's name for it is "long non-coding RNA (FVES_LNC001029)". Lineage: Eukaryota; Viridiplantae; Streptophyta; Magnoliopsida; Rosales; Rosaceae. The record is from RNAcentral.
UUUGUGAUGAUGUUGAUAUAUAUAAUAUUGUUAUAUAUGUAAUUAUUAAUUAAGUAUAUCUAUAUAUAUAUGUGUUAAUUAAUUUGUUAUCAAUUAGUUGUAAUACGUAGAAUAUAUAUAAAUGAAUUGAAAUUUUAUAUAUGGCAUAGAAUUUAAUUAAUAAUUAGCUAGCGUUAUACAUAUAUAUUUUGUUAUAUUUUCAGGAUAUGGAUAAGAGUUGGAUUUCGCUUCCAAAAUAGGAUAAAAGAUACAGUGCAGGAGUUAUGAGUUUUAUAGAAUAUGCGCUGGCUAAUGCUAACGGGAAUACAAUUUUCUAUUGCCCGUGCACGAAAUGUCAGUGUCGCAGCGAUAUGCAUCGAUUUCCCAUUGACAAAGUAUGGCAGCACCUGAGGAGUAACGGGUUUUGGGAGAAGUACACAUGUUGGUUAUAUCACGGUGAAACAUCAUCAGGGGGUCCGCAUGAUCNNNNNN